RNAcentral lists this ribosomal RNA (253 nucleotides) under uncultured bacterium. RNAcentral describes it as "partial 16S ribosomal RNA". It matches the Rfam family "Bacterial small subunit ribosomal RNA", at positions 524 to 776 of the family's 1533-position model. The record is from RNAcentral.
UACGUAGGGUGCGAGCGUUAAUCGGAAUUACUGGGCGUAAAGCGUGCGCAGGCGGUUUUGUAAGCCAGAUGUGAAAUCCCCGGGCUUAACCUGGGAAUGGCAUUUGGGACUGCAAGGCUUGAGUGCGGCAGAGGAGACUGGAAUUCCUGGUGUAGCAGUGAAAUGCGUAGAUAUCAGGAGGAACACCAGUGGCGAAGGCGACUUCCUGGCCUGUUCUUGACGCUGAGGCGCGAAAGCUAGGGGAGCAAACGGG